UGAAGAUAAAAUAUUGUUUUAUUACUGAAAAAGUUGACUUCAGAAUUUGCCUUGACUUGUGACCAACUCGGUUUCCUAAUCUCUUCCCUCCUCCCUCAGUUGUACUUAUUUGACUACUCACAUACUACCCUUCUCUCUCUCUUGCAGCUAUUUCUCCUCUUACAGAAAGGGCUUCUUAUUUGCCUUCUUAACUGACAGGAACUGCCUCAAUAACUUGUUAACCUUCUGCCCUGGUGAUAUUUAUCCUCCUCUUCUUCUGUAAAGCAAAAAAAAAAAAAAAAAAAAAGAAAGAAAGAAGCAACAGCCCAGAGGGGUGCAGUGGCUUAUUCCUGUAAUUACAGCACUUUGGGAGGAUAAGACAGGAGGAUUGCUUGAGGCCAGGAGUUUGAGACCAGCCUGGACCACAGAUCAAGACCCUGUCUCUACUGAAAAAAAAAAGUGAAGGCCUACAGGGAAAGAAACAAUUACCAAGAAGGACAAAUCUGCUAGAAGGCCUGACACGUAUUUCGGAGGAUUAACAGAAGUCAUCAGCCCAUGAGAUCUUCAGAGGGUCCAUGACAAUGUUACACCCUGAGUCACAGGCUAAAUGUCUAGAACAGUCAGAUGCUUACUGGGAACCCAGAUGAUGUUUCUAAGGAGGAAAUUCAUAUAGGAUAAAAUUUGAGCAAAUCGCUUUCAGAAUUCAUGCAAGAAUCUCUCCAAAAAUUGUGCCAGCUGCUGUCUCGUGCUGUAGUUGAAGUCCAGAGUUGAAUCUGCCCAUGUGCUGUGCUUCGGACCAGGUAGCAGAAUCAGAAUCAGCCAAGUCAUGAUUACCCCUUUGAAACAAGUUACC
This is a long non-coding RNA of Symphalangus syndactylus (siamang), 832 nucleotides long. RefSeq lists it as uncharacterized. Lineage: Eukaryota; Metazoa; Chordata; Mammalia; Primates; Hylobatidae. The record is from RefSeq and is a predicted model, not a curated record.